GAAUGCCAUCAUCUGACUUCCUUUCAGGCCUCAGUGGUUUAUCGAUAAAGAAAUGCUCGAAAACGAAUUCCAGAAUGUCACCUGCUGCUUUAGGGCUGCUCAGAUUUUUUUCGCACUAAAUCACGUUCCGUCCGUUCACAACUUCAGCAGCUUCUCUCUCAGCAUCCCUUUGAAGAGAGAAAACCAAGAGGAUGAUGACAGAAAAGGAUUCAUGCCUAAAACCUUUGGAGGGACACAAAGAAAUGAAGGAAUACGCUGACGACGAUGAAGUUCAACCUUGUGUAGUCAGUGAAUCGACCAGUCAAUACACAAUAGAAAAUAACUACUGUAAAAAAGAAAUCAUGUAAGAAUAACAGAAAAUAAUAUAAUUUUCCAUAAAUACAUUUUCUAGCCCUUUUUCAUGUUAUUCUACAUUGUACAUCUAUGUAUUACAUUAUGCACAUACGUUACACACAUAUAGAACAUUUAUGUAAUUUACUGAAAACGAGAAAAAAAUGCUUAUGCAUGUUGCUUUUUUGUGAAUUACAGUGAUAAACCAGUACAUGUGCAUAUUCUAAUUUUUUAUUACCUUGGUUUCAGUCCAAAUCAGUCCUGAAACCUAUUAAACUUUGUGACCAUAA
Acanthochromis polyacanthus (spiny chromis) is the source of this 620-nucleotide long non-coding RNA. RefSeq lists it as uncharacterized. The transcript has 2 exons. The record is from RefSeq and is a predicted model, not a curated record. NCBI's taxonomy places the organism in Eukaryota, Metazoa, Chordata, Actinopteri, Pomacentridae.